CCUGAGGAGAGAGCAGGGAGGGAAGUAGACACUGGGUUCUUUGCUAAAGGCCAGAGCUGCUGGCUGCUUCUGCACUAUAGAGGGUGGAAGAGGGAAAGGAGGAGGAGGUGGCCUCACAGAAUUUGGAGGGAGGGUUGUGCAGACACUCGGUCCUCCGGCUCCUCUUUCCCUCCUCCUGCAUCCACAAUCACCCUCCUUCCUGUUCUUCAACCUCUCCUAGAAAGACUGGCUGAUGACCUUCAACUCCAGAUUGAAGAUUAGCAAAGCCCAAAUCUUCUCAGUGAGUACACACCAUCCCUGUGGGGCAGGCUCGACAAGGUAUUCCAAAGAGGAGAGAUAUUCAGAAGAAAUGCCAAUAGAGACAGGGACACACACCAGCUGGGAGUGCAGACCCAGCCCUUCCCAAUCUGGGAGAUUGGGAAAAUGGGGUUUUGCCUGUGUCCCAAUUAAACCCCUGUCCUGCAAAGAAGGAAGCCAACACCAAGGCCCAAGGACACCAAGGGAGUCAGGAUACCCAGGACCCAACCUCUCUUGCCUUUGCUGGCCAUAUGCCCAUGGUAACUUUGUUCCCCUCUCUGUUUCCUCCUCUGUCAAUGAGCCUGUUGGACUGGAUUGGUGGUUUUUACACUGAGUUUCUGGGGGUCUUGGGGCUUUGGGGACUAUUUCAGAGGUACUGAUGCAUUUGGGAGUAGAGUUUUAGAGAUAGUAUCCCAUUCAGCCCUUUUUUGCUGUGUCUGAGUAAGCUUUUGCUGGAAGAAAGGUUCCCUGGUCUAAAAAAUGUUAGACAUCACUGGAUUAGGUGAACUUUUCAGUUACUUUCUGAUUUCUAAAAUUUCAUGGCUCUUAUAGCAGGUGCAAGAGAGUGACUGGAAAUAAUCCGUUCCUUCAAGCUUCAAUUAUGGAGGUAGCAGGAAGGUUGCUUCAGAACGAGGGCCCUGGAGAAACAAGGUCAAGGAUGGAAGGAAGACAAGGUAUUGCACUCACGUGAGGAGGAUUUAGCCGUGGACACCAGGGCACCGGUGAUGAGGAGGAGGAGGAAGAGGGAGAUGGCAGCCAUGGAGACUUUCAUCCUCCUGGGUUGAGGGAGCUGCUGCAGGAGGAGAACUUGCCUGGGAGGGGCUUCUGAAGCUCCUGGGCUGAGGUGGUGGUGAGAAAUGACCUUCAAGGCAAAGUAUUUCUUAAAAUAAGGGAACCAAGAUUACAAAGGGAAGUAGGAAGCAGUGAUGCCUCAGCAAUUUCAUAUCCUGAACAUUUGUUGAGGGUGGAGUGAGGGAAGCAUGGAGAGCCAAGAUUUCAGGGAGGAAAUUGCCUUCUAUUCCCAGUGGCAAUACAUUUAACUCCUUUGAUAUAAGCCCUUCCUUUGGUAUAGGCUACAACACAGGGCCUGGGGGUACUGUUGCACCCUUAGUUCAAGAUCUAAAGGCUGGGAUGUGGCCUGUGACCAUUUGGGGAGGUUCAGAAUCUGUUUGUCUGGAGAUCAGAGGUGAUUUAGGGUACCAGGAUGAGGUCAGGAGCUCCCCAUGUCCAGUCUCACUCAUCUGGACUAGGAACUCCUCACUUAAACAUUUAACCAGAACCUCCAGCUCCCAGACUCAUUGCUACCCUCUCACCAUACCCUGGGGUGAGGAAACACUGUGAUGCUCAGUAGAUAAUUUAUUUAACAAACAUUACAUAACAGCUACACACACCAGCCACUGUCCCAAAUGUUUUAUGAAUAAUAGCCCAUUUUAUCUUAAAUAAGCAAUGGAGGAAACUGAGGCACAGAGAGCAUAAGUAACUUGCCCAAGCUUUGACAGUUGAUAAGUGGAAUCUGGGUUCAGACCCAGGUAGUCUGGUUCCCAAGUCUGUGUUCUUAACCACUAUGCUGUGGAGAAACCUGGGGACCCCAACUGAGCUGUCUCUGAAAGUGACCUGGCUUUUCUACAAAGCCUCUAGUCUUAGCUCUUUCUGAUCUCGGGUGUAUCCCUUUAGGACCUUCUCCUGGCUUCUGACUUUUGUCACAGAGAAGCUUGAUGAGUACCUAGAAAAUGCUGUGUUCAGGGAUGGCCAGUAGGCUUCACUGAUUAGCAGUGGGCUGGAGUUCUGUGUUGCAUAGUAUUCCAAGGCCAUGUCCACACACCUCAGAAGAAGUGCUGUGACUAACACAUGCAGCUCACGUGCUAUGUAUUUGUCAUCCUUAGAUUGGUCUAAACUGGCCAUUUACUGAGGAGGAAUUCAGGCUCAAGAAAGGGCCAGGGACUUGCUCAUAUUUAUAGGAUGAGCGGGGUGCAGAAUAGAUCCACCUCUGCAGACUCAGUCCAAUGGCCUUUACCAUGUUCAGCUUAGGGGCCAUUUUGCUUACUGUUGCAUUUAGAAGGCUGUUUACAUCUCCUCUCCUCUCCUGGACUCAUCAGGGCAGGGAACAUCUGUUAUUUAUCUUUGCCCAUUCAUAAAGAGCCUAACACAAUUUGUAAAUACAUGUUUUAGAAGAACCAUGAAUAAAGUACUUGAGCUGGUCUAAGUAUGUGCAUCUCACAGGAAAUGGCUGAAUUCUCAUGCUGAGGUGCCAAGACAGCCAUUUAUUAGACAUGUUCUGUAUUUGUUAUCAUCAAUAACAAAACUAUUUAAACUCUUCAAAUCAAACAAUCUAAGGAAAUAAGUUGUUUCUGGGGAGAAUAUGAGUUGGAAGGAAACAGUGUUUACUUUGUUUUCAUGGUGACUUAGCCCACUUGCCAAGUUGUUGCUAGGAACCUUACAGGAAAUCUCUUGAUUUUUCAAGCAGUUAUUAAGUUCCUACCUACAUUAGUCUGUAUAUACUAAUUGCUAAUAAAUAACCCCUAAAUCUCAGGGGAUUAAUUAAA
This is a long non-coding RNA of Felis catus (domestic cat), 2840 nucleotides long. RefSeq lists it as uncharacterized. The record is from RefSeq and is a predicted model, not a curated record. The transcript has 2 exons. Lineage: Eukaryota; Metazoa; Chordata; Mammalia; Carnivora; Felidae.